UGGUGGGUAACAAUUAAUUUCUCUGGUUGUAAACCUCAUAACGGAGAACUAUCUACCUACUGCACCAAGCCACGCAUUACGGGAUAGACGUGUCCUAAACGUGUCUUUGUUUUGUUCUCUUCUUCUGAAGAGUCUCCUGUUGUGUGGAGAUGGAGAAUGCACACGCAAAAGAGUCGGAAGAGGUGUGUCAUACUUUGGUGUCGACCAGACACCGGCCUCACACCAGAACAGUUCAAGAAGAACCUGGCCAGAUAUGGUCACAAUGAGCUCCCAGCUGAGAUUGGUAAGACCAUCUGGGAGUUGGUCGUAGAGUCAGUUUGAGGAUCUGUUGGUCAGAACUCUG
Long non-coding RNA from Salvelinus sp. IW2-2015, 343 nucleotides. RefSeq lists it as uncharacterized. The record is from RefSeq and is a predicted model, not a curated record. The transcript is spliced from 3 exons. Lineage: Eukaryota; Metazoa; Chordata; Actinopteri; Salmoniformes; Salmonidae.